This 5181-nucleotide unclassified non-coding RNA is filed under the name Hevea brasiliensis (rubber tree). Lineage: Eukaryota; Viridiplantae; Streptophyta; Magnoliopsida; Malpighiales; Euphorbiaceae. The record is from RNAcentral.
AUUCAUUCAUAUUUUCAUAUAUACUAAAAAUAUUUUUCCUUUACAUAACUCAACAGCCAAUUUUCCAUUUUGAUGUCACAAAUUCUUUGAACUUUUUCAGUUCUUCUAAAACAUAGGGGACUUUUUAAGGACUUGAAGAAGAAAGAUGAGUUCAACCAUGAAGGGGUUGUUGCUAAAGCCCAAUACAAAUAAUAUGUACAUGACAAAAUUACUAAAACACAAGUAUGCAGAAGAGCAAUUUCUAGCAAAGUACUCUUCUUUUGGCAUUCAUAUGAAUUGUUCAAAAUGGAGUAGUAAAGUCAUUAGAUGUCAUCAACAAGAACCUAAUGGCUUUUCAAAUUCCCCAGUAACUCCAAUAAGAAAGCAAACCCCUCCACCUCAGGCAAUUUUGAGUCCUGUUUCAGAAACUACAUCAACUGCAAAAAAGAGAGUUUAUACUUUUGGAAAAGGAAGAAGUGAAGGAAACAAGGGCAUGAAGUCCUUGUUGGGAGGUAAAGGAGCAAACCUUGCUGAAAUGGCAAGCAUUGGAUUGUCCGUGCCGCCGGGGCUUACUAUAUCAACAGAAGCAUGCCAGGAGUAUCAGAUUGCUAAAAAGCUUCCACAAGGAUUGUGGGAGGAGAUACUACAAGGAUUGGAAGUUGUGGAGAAAGAUAUGGGGGCUUUCCUUGGGAACCCCUCCAAGCCCCUCCUUCUUUCGGUUCGAUCUGGUGCUGCUAUUUCUAUGCCUGGGAUGAUGGAUACUGUCUUGAACCUUGGACUCAAUGAUGAAGUGGUUACUGGUUUGGCUGCCAAAAGUGGAGAGAGGUUUGCUUAUGACUCGUACAGACGAUUUCUUGACAUGUUUGGUGAUGUGGUAAUGGGCAUCUCACAUUCAUUAUUUGCGGAGAAGUUAGAGAAGUUGAAGGAUGCCAAAGGAGUGAAGCUUGACACCGAGCUCACAGCAUCUGAUCUUAAACAGCUGGUGGAGCAGUACAAAAAUGUCUACGUUGAAGCUAAGGGUGAAAAGUUUCCUUCAGAUCCCAAAAGACAGUUGGAGUUGGCUAUCAAAGCAGUUUUUGAUUCUUGGGACAGUCCAAGAGCCAACAAAUAUCGGAGCAUUAAUCAGAUAACAGGACUUAAAGGAACUGCAGUAAACAUUCAAUGCAUGGUGUUCGGGAACAUGGGUAACACUUCAGGAACAGGUGUUCUCUUUACUAGGAAUCCGAGCACUGGCGAGAAGAAGCUCUAUGGAGAGUUUCUAAUCAAUGCUCAGGGAGAGGAUGUUGUCGCUGGAAUUAGAACACCUCAGGACUUGGAAACAAUGAAGGAGUGUAUGCCUGAAGCAUACAAGGAGCUUGUUGAGAACUGUGAGAUUUUAGAGCGACAUUAUAAAGAUAUGAUGGAUAUCGAAUUCACUGUUCAAGAAAAUAGACUGUGGAUGCUACAAUGCCGAACAGGGAAGCGUACGGGUAAAGGAGCUGUAAAGAUAGCACUUGACAUGGCGAAUGAGGGACUUGUUGACAAGCAUGCAGCUGUAAAGAUGGUGGAGCCACAGCAUUUAGACCAACUUCUUCACCCCCAGUUUGAAAAUCCAUUGGCUUAUAAAGACAAGGUGAUUGCUAAGGGCCUUCCUGCUUCUCCAGGGGCAGCAGUGGGACAGGUCGUGUUCAGCGCUGAAGAUGCUGAAGAAUGGCAUGCACAAGGGAAGAGUGUUAUUUUGGUGAGAACUGAAACAAGUCCAGAGGAUGUUGGAGGCAUGAAUGCUGCUGCUGGGAUCUUAACCGCAAGAGGUGGCAUGACAUCUCAUGCAGCUGUUGUAGCCCGUGGAUGGGGUAAAUGUUGCGUGUCCGGAUGUGCUGAUAUUCGUGUUAAUGAGUCGGAUAAGGUUCUCAUCAUUGAAGACAAAGUGAUUCAUGAAGGAGAGUGGAUUUCAUUGAACGGAUCAACAGGUGAAGUAAUCUUGGGAAAGCAACCACUAUCACCUCCAGCUAUGACUGGUGAUUUGGAGAUCUUCAUGGCUUUGGCUGAUAAGAUCAGGCGCAUCAAGGUUAUGGCAAAUGCCGACACACCAGAAGAUGCACUAGCAGCAAGGAACAAUGGUGCUGAAGGGAUUGGUCUAUGCAGGACAGAACACAUGUUCUUUGCAUCAGAUGAAAGGAUAAAAGCUGUGAGAAGGAUGAUAAUGGCAGUUACUCUUGAGCAGAGGAAGGAAGCGCUCGACUCAUUGUUGCCUUACCAGAGAUCUGACUUUGAAGGCAUUUUCCGUGCAAUGGAUGGUCUUCCGGUGACAAUUCGACUGUUAGACCCACCACUUCAUGAAUUUUUGCCAGAAGGGAACCUGGAAGAGAUUGUGAGUGAACUAACAACACAUACAGGCAUGCGCGAGGAAGAUGUCUAUUCUAGGAUUGAGAAAUUGUCAGAAGUCAAUCCCAUGCUCGGAUUUCGAGGCUGCAGGCUCGGUAUAUCCUACCCGGAACUGACAGAAAUGCAGGCUCGUGCGAUCUUUCAAGCUGCUAUAACUAUGAACAACCAGGGUAUUUCAGUAUUUCCAGAGAUAAUGGUUCCCCUUGUUGGAACACCUCAGGAAUUAGGACAUCAAGUGACUUUAAUACGCAGUAUUGCAAACAAAGUGUUCUCUGAGAUGGGUGUCACAUUAAGCUAUAAGGUGGGGACUAUGAUUGAGAUUCCUAGAGCUGCUCUGGUUGCAGAUGAGAUUGCAAAGAUAGCAGAAUUCUUUUCCUUUGGAACAAAUGAUCUCACACAAAUGACAUUUGGGUAUAGUCGAGAUGAUGUUGGCAAGUUUCUCCCCAUAUACCUAUCCAAAGGCAUUUUACAAAGUGAUCCAUUUGAGGUACUUGAUCAGAAAGGCGUAGGCCAACUCAUCAAGAUGGCAACAGAAAAGGGCCGUGCAGCUAGGCCUAGCUUAAAGGUUGGAAUAUGUGGAGAGCAUGGUGGGGAGCCUUCAUCAGUUGCAUUCUUUGCAGAGGCUGGACUAGAUUAUGUUUCAUGUUCUCCAUUCAGGGUUCCUAUUGCAAGGUUAGCAGCAGCACAAGUUGUUGUCUGAAAAAGAAUUCAGGAGGAGCAGCUCCAUCACCUUGUUACUCUCAAUUUGUGCAGUUGUAAAUAACUUACCUAGUAGCAAAUGCCUACAAUAACUUCGACCAUAGCAAUAUAAGAAUGGCAUAAGCAAAAAAAUGCAAUGAACAUUAUAGAGGCGUAAAUAAGGGUUUGACUCCUUAUAGACGGGAAAAGAAAGAUCAGGGCUUUGGAUGAUAGAGAAUGCUCUUGGCAGUUUUUCUUAUAUAUAUAUUCAGUGAAUAAUGAGAUAAGCAAACUUCGGUGAUAACCAAGAAAUUGAACUAUUUUAAUUCGGUAUUUCAACUAUUUUCUGGUUUUGCGGUUAACAUUUUUAAAGAAUUUCAGUUUUUCAUUGGAUUAAUUCUAUCAAAAAGCUUGUUUAGAAUAAACUUCAAAAAUCUAUUGGUUUGAUUCAUAUAUAAUAGACAUAAUCCAAAUGAGUUUAGUUGCUGGAUGACGGUGUGUUAAGCGAUCAAAGGAGUCAUAGAUGAACGACAAGUCGUUAGACGAGUAUCAGAGCACCAGCUAAUAAAACGGCUUAUCACAAGGUUUUAUAUCAUUGAUAAAAAGUCGUGGGCGUGGAAGGCACCAUGAAACAAUGUCACGUUGUGCUUCGUCGUUUGUGUAAAAACGAUGCUGUAUCGAGUUUCUGUUUAAUUGCUCGUGUCCUCUCCCUCCCGUUUGACAAUAAAACCCUAGGGUGGAGAAUAACCCAAAACCUCUGCGAAUCUCUUGCUCUGUGUAUGUUUGUGUGUGAGUAAAACUGAAGAAUAAAAUCGAAAAGAAUAGAAAAAAAUGGUGAUAGAAAGUUACGUGGUUGUGCACAACAUUGCGAAGAGGCACAACGUGGGCACUCUGGCACGAAGUGCCACCGCAUUUGGUGUGACGGAGCUCAUACUCGUUGGCCGCAGGGACUUCAACGCUUUUGGUAGCCAUGGCUCCACCUCUCACCUCCGAUUCCGCCAUUUGCACUCUCUCCUGGACGCCCGCAAUUUCCUCAAGGAGAAGGAUUGUGAUAUUUGUGGUGUGGAGAUUGCUGAUGGUGCUUUGCCCGUAAAUGAGCAUCCUUUCAAGAAGAGCACGGCUUUCCUUCUUGGCAACGAGGGAACAGGCCUAUCUGCUAAAGAAUGUGAGAUAUGCGACUUUUUUGUUUAUAUCCCACAAUAUGGGUGUGGUACAGCCUCAUUAAAUGUUACCGUAGCAGCUUCCAUUGUUUUGCAUCAUUUUGGAGUUUGGGCAGCCUUUUCUGAGAGAACCCGUGAUGGAAAUAAGUUUAUUGUGGCAGAGAGACCUGUGAAACAGGUGAGAUACUGCACAGAAACUGAAGAAUCUAUCAUUGCAGAGCGAAAAUCUAGAAAAGAACAUACCCGUAAUGGAUUCUUUGAUGAGACAAGAAAUGAAGAUUCAACUUCUAACCUUCUGGAUGCUUUGUUUAGUGAGUAGUAAUUGAACUUGUAUAUGUCAUUUUCUCAACCCUAUAAAACAAAUUGACGUCAUGCAAUUCAUGAGGUGAGAGGUCACGGGUCCUUGUUCCUCAAAGUGUUGUAAAGGAGCAGCAAGCAGCUUAUACCGUUCAGUGCAGAAAAGAGCCUAUCAUCAGUCAAGGUUUGUGAGUAAACCUAUUUAAAAGGAACUUCAAUGAUAGUGUUAGAACAUUUGCAGGUUAAACUCCUCAGGAGGAUGAACAUUAGCUGUAAUGAAAUGUUGAAAUUGAUUCGACUAUGAGCAUGAAUGUUCAAAUACAGAAUAUUUGCUUGAGCAGCAUUGUUAAAGGGUUCUCAAAAAGUGUGGUGUGAAAGAAUAUUUAGAAGUAUCAUUUGGUGAACUUUGAUUAUUAACUUGUUCUGUGUCCGUUGCCAAUAAAACGAGCGAAUCAAACACCCUUGUCUAACAAACUGUUUUUGUCUCUUAUUUUGUAUAGUUUGUGUAACCCAUUAUCCACGAUUUUUCUUUUUAUUUAAGUCUGAAUAGAAUUUGAACUCAGGACCUUGUAAUUUUGUUUGAACUCAUAGAUGGGCAUUUACCCCCUUCAAGACGGAAGUAUGGCUCCACUGAGCACUGGCCUAAUUUGUAUAGUUGUAUUGUUUGAGGAACCUAUUAUCUACUGUGUCAUUUGGCUUUGAC